Molecule: ribosomal RNA, 274 nt
Filed under: uncultured bacterium
Lineage: Bacteria
Description: partial 16S ribosomal RNA
Rfam family: Bacterial small subunit ribosomal RNA
Source: RNAcentral
AUACGGAGGGAGCUAGCGUUGUUCGGAAUUACUGGGCGUAAAGCGUACGUAGGCGGCUUAUUAAGUCAGAUGUGAAAGCCCGGGGCUUAACCUCGGAACUGCAUUUGAAACUGGUAGGCUUGAGAUCGGUAGGGGAUAGUGGAAUUCCUAGUGUAGAGGUGAAAUUCGUAGAUAUUAGGAAGAACACCAGUGGCGAAGGCGGCUUACUGGCUCGAUACUGACGCUGAGGCGCGAAAGCGUGGGGAGCAAACAGGAUUAGAAACCCGAGUAGUCC